AACAACACGGAAGAAAUCGCAAUCCUCAAAGAAAUUUUCAAUCUCAAUGUAAACCUAGAUCUCGUAAAAGAAUACCUUUAUAAUAUAUUUGAAUCAAUACAAAUGUCUAAAGCAAAAGUUAUCUCAAAAAAUAUUCUCACAACCGAAGAAAUAUUAGAAGCAAUGUCAAUUUUGAAAAGUGAAAAUGUUACUGUUGAUAGUUAUGAACAAGCCAUUGAAUAUCUCGAACUGAUUGUACUUCAUAGCAAUACCAAAAUUGUAUUUGUAAUUUUAAUACCAACUCUGAAGGACGCCAUCUUCGAACAUCAACUCAUCGAGCCGGUUGUCAAAGAAGGAAAGGUGUUGAAUCUAUUCGUGAACGAAGCAUUCACCAACACUAAGGAAACGUAUCUUAUAAUAGGUGACUGUCAGCAAAUUGGAAACAAUACUAUCUGCAGCAAAGAUCGACUAAAGGAUGUUUCAUUCGACACAUGCUAUUCCAAAAUCCUUCGAGGAUUAUCAGGUAAUUGUGAACUUGUCGAAUCCUCGGCAAAAACAGAAAUCAAGCAAAUAAGUUCCAAUUACAUUAUCAUCGAUGGUUUGAAAAGUCUGCCAAUCACAACAGACUGUGGACUUUCGAAUCGAAAUAUUUCCACAGCCACACUCAUUUAUUUCAAAAACUGCACAGUGGUAGUUAAUCACACAUCAUUUACCAACAUAGAGUACUUUACUCGAGAUUCUCCAGUACUAAUUCCCUUAAAUGGUUUACAAAUAACUGGGAAGACUGUAGAUACGAACAUAACUCUACAUAAAUUGAAGGAGAUACAUCUCGAUACUCGGAAACAGCUUCUUGCUUUACGCAAGCAACAUCAACAUACAACAAUUGGAACAUCCAUGGUCAUAAUAACCAUUGCGAUAGCAUUUGCCUUUUAUCUGUUCAAAGAUCGUUUCAGUCACAAGCCAAAUUCAUCGUCCAAAAUUGUCGAACCGGGACAGUUCGAACUGGAGGAGGGAGUAGUUAAAGCCGAAGCCAUCUCGAACCCCAACCUUUGCAGCCACCCAACCAAUGAAGACCAAAUAAAUCAUCUACAGCAACAGCAACAACAACUAGCUAGAUCGCUCGCCUUAUUAGCAAGCGAACACGAACAGCAGCAGCAUUAACCGACCCAGAGCACCAAAAUUGAAUCCACACCAACGGCAGUAGCACUGACUGACCCAGCGCACCAUCAUCAUCAUCAUCAUCAUCAUCAUCCACCUCCCGGCAACAUUGUACUCGCACCACCCAUCGACGCGAUUGCACCGAGACUGUCGAUGGCACCUAGAAUGCCGACUCAGCAGCAUACGCGACAACGACCCUUCAACGACGACGACGAUAGCAACAAGAAUGUUAGGAUAAGUUAAACAUAUCAAGAAAUAAAAUUAAUUCUGUUUCGAUCUCGAACGAGUCAAGUCGUUAUUUCAAAGUUUCCGAAGUUCUUAACUAUCAUAAUACUACGAAAAUUACUCAGAGGUAACGAGACCACAACGACAGGCCUGAAGGACGAAAGGAUUGUGUUUAGGGCACUGUGGGAUUUGUGAAUUUAUCCUCCGGGUGAGAAUUACCCAGCGACACUGGAACGUCAGAGGAGCAAUUGAAGACGAUAGUGAUGGCGAAACGAGAUCUACCAAAGAGAAAUCAUGCGCCAACGUACUCGUAUUUGGACUUAUAGGAUAAUAUCUCAAUGCAUCUCAAAUUCUCUCAGUUUCCGAGCUGUUAGAUUUACAGCACCCAAAUUUCCAUAACAUGCAACAGUGUCGAAUUUUCAAUACAACAAAUACUUUUGUUGUAGCCCACCAAGUUGACACUUAAGCCAAUUGACAAAAUGGAGAUGUGAAAUAGCAACAACCGACUUGCGCACAUGUUGCACUAGAAUGUUAACGUGUGAUUGAAUUCUCACCACAUGUUUUCUUUCCGCAUAGCGUUGAAUGAAAACUCUACCUUGCUUCUUUUCCCUUCCCUAAUAAAAUUGUUAUAGUUAGUUUGCUUAACGACGUGUUCCGGAUAUUAUCCAAACCAUUUGUGGAAUAGUUCUAUCAUUUGGGUUAUCAUUCGUUUAUGGUAUUUUUCAUUGGGGUUCCAUUUCGGUUACAUUCGCCUAUGUACUUCUUUGUACGAUAGCGAGUGUAUUGGUUCAUGAUGUUUUGUAAACCAGACAAGGUACCUCCCACAGACUACUUGAAAUGUGUAGAGUUUAAGUUUCGUUAGCUUAAGCUAAAGAAAUAAAAAUUAUUACUAACCGUUACGCUAACCGAAAUGCAUGCAUUCUCCAGAACAAGUAUCACAGCCAAAAUGUACAUUACAUGGCUGACCGUGAAGCGGUAGUAAAAAUGAGUUAGACAACCAAUAGUUAAAGCGAGUUGAAACACCAAUAGUUAAAGUGAGUUAAAACACUGGUGGUUAAAGUGAUUUUGAACAAGUGAAACCAACAUGGGUACCGAGGAAUGUAAGGAACAAUCCCCCAAGACCAUGGGUGACCAAACAGUGACGAUUGUGGAGAACCAGCAGGUUCACAACGAGUUUCAUGUCAAUCAUGAACUGAAAUUAAACAUUAUCUUAAUAAUGCUCACAGUUCACGCAGUAAUAGCAGUCGCAAAAAUACUGCUGCAAUGUAUGCGUAAAACCAUGGACAAAGUAGCGCAAAAUCCCGUGAUGACACAAAACGUUUAAUCGUUACAAAAAAAAAGUAGACCGAACAGAGUGUGUGUACAACCAAAUAAACGUUACUAAAUAAAAAAUUAAACUGUACAAUCUGUUACUGUUAAUCGAAUCGAAUCGAAGUUAAAGCCGCACAACUAGGUUUUAAUAAAUACGAGCAUAAACCCCAAGAACAAAAAUACUACGCGCGCGGAGCAGAAGAAAAGUGCAAACGCGUAAAAGUGUAACAAUCUAAAAUACAACUGCAGCAGAGACCACUGUCGCCAGGAGUCGGCAGGCGGGUUUACAUGGAACGUUACGGAUGAGUACGGGCGUGCAGCAGCUGGAUAAUCAACAACAUAGUUAUAACAAUAAAAAGUAUUUAAGAAUAGUUAAGAUAGUGAUACAGUAUUGAAUUCAUUUUUCAAGACACAUUGAAUUUGGUUUAUUUUAUCUGGAUCUUGUUGAUUGGAAUGGUUAUCAACCAUUACAUUAAAUUAUAUGUUGUGAAUGUGUUUUGUCCUUAAAUGGAAGAUUACUUGAAAUUCCAACAAUCAAAAAAUCAAUUAAUACCAAGUUGAAAGAAGAAACCUUGAAAACCAAAUUAAAACUUACUAAUGAACUAUAUGGCUCAAUUUCAAACCGGAUGGAUCAAGAUGAGGAACUUUUAUCCGAAUAUCAACUAAAUACCUACAAUUUCAACAAAUUCUUCUUAUUAAUAUACAUUUUAAGUUUUUAAAUUUGGAAAAUUAGGGAAUAAACAUAAGUUUUCUAAUCAUCUUACGCCAUCUCCUUAUCCAUUUAAAGUAGGCAAAGUUAAUACUAACGAAAUGACGGAUCCAGUAUUUGACAUUAAACAGGCAACAGCCAUCGUGCAACCGUAUGAUAGCAAUGCCGAAAAUCUUGAUUCGUUUGUGGAUGCAGUAAAACUACUUAAAGAUGUGCUACUAACACAGGUAGCAACGGCCAUUAGACUCUUAAAGCCAGAUAGACUGGCAAAGCCAGGAUUGGUAUGCAAAAUGAUUAUAAUACCAUUGAUGAACUUAUCAAUGAUAUUCAGCAAAGAUGCAAAGGUACACCUCACCGGAAAAUAUUAUUUCUCAAAUGAAAGCAAUAAAAAUGAAAUCUAAUGAAAUCGUGAGAGCUUAUUGUGUCAGCAUUGAAAAAUGCUAUGUAAAAUUGAAAUCAAUUUACAUAAACCAACAAAUACCACCAGCAGUAGCUUAAACAAUGGCUCGAAAGGUUGGUAUUGAUACACUAAUUAACGGUAUCAAUAACCAGGAAGUAAAAUUAAUUCUGAAGGCUGGAACAUUCGCCAGCCUGGCCGAAGCCAUUACCAAAGUUAAUGAAAACAGCCAAGAAACAGCACAGGGGACUCAGAUAUUGUCCUUCGCUAAGGUAGCGGGACAACAAGCGACCCGAGGAAAUUUUAGAAGAGGAUCAAGAGGGGGAUAUAGACAAUAUAACAAUAAUAGGCAAAGUUGACAGUGGCAACUAACUAUGGUACUGUUCAGAUUGAAUAGAUAAACGUAUCCCCGGAUUCGAGACAUCAACAAACAAUCAUGUAUACUGUUUCUGGUGUGUAAGCCAUAAUAUUAUGGAUGCAAUAGUUGUCAACUCUGAUGGGAAGAUCAACUUGAUCUCGUAAGCGAAGAAAGAUCGCGUGAAUAAUGCGUUUUAAACGGUAUCAAAACGAAAUUUUCAAUCAGAAAACUAAGCGAUGUUGGCAUUUCGAACCUAAGCAAAAGUAAUGCCAUAAACAAAAGAAGCUAGAUAUGUGGAAUAGAUCGUAGCAAUUUUUAAAGAAACCGAACGGAAGCGUGUUCGAGAAGCUGCGGCUACAUCAACAGAGCAAGUUACGAUGAUGAUGAUGAUGAUGAUGAUGAUGAUGGAUAUGCCAUUCCCAUCCAAACAAUAAACAGAACACAAAUUCAAUCAUACUAAACAAACAAUUCAUCCCCAGGCAGCAAAGCCAACGCCCGGGUAAAAAUAAUGCAAUUAUGCAAUUCUAAACGAGCCAUAUGUGUAGCCACUCGGUACUGGACUUGCAGCGCUCUUUCACCCUCUAUCCACCGUUCAUGUGUUGUCCGAGGUGGUUCGCGCAGCACGAAAGGUUCCGAGUGACAACGCCGGGCGCUCAACCGAAAUAUAUGCAAUAUAACUGAUAAUGCUAGGAUAAGCAUUUUUGUCGCUGUGUGUCCCUCCAGUCGUUUCACUCUUUAAUGAUAUGACUCUUUUUAACAUAUAGGAAACAUUGUAAACCAUUGUAUAAAAGGAACAUGCAUUUUAAUAAACAGAAAUUCUAAUUCUAGAGCUGGACUCUGACUGGGUUCACCUCGGUCAGACCAAUAGAAACUCUAUUGUGAUAACAAACGAUACAAAAUACGUCCGAAUCUAAAGAACAAGAUCAAGACGUCAAACAGGUGGGGGACCAAUAAGUGACAGUGAUAGUAAAUCAUCAAAUCUACACAUAAUAUAACUCUCAGCAUGAGGUGAUUCUGUGGAUAAUAAUAGCAAUGGUAGCAACGUUGCUAAUUAUGAAAAUUUAAAAAUUAGCAAUUGCAUAUUGCAAAAAGCAAGCGUUUAAAACAGCAAACAUUCAAAAUGUGUAGAACAAACUUAACAUUUUAAAGUGAAAAGGACAAACAAAAAACAGUGUAAAAAUGUAAUGCAAAGAAGGAAAGAAUAUAUUUAUGCACUGAGCGUCAUCAACAAGUGCUAAUCAAUCAUUAGAAAAACGAAGAAAAAAACAAUACAAUGAACAUUGCACUGUGUUCAUUGUGUAGUGUACCUACAUGCUUCCAUCAAAAUUUAACAUAGACACAUUAAGCAACGCUACUUCAGUGUCAGCAUUUUGGCAUAACCAGCAAGUAUGAGAACGAUUGCCUCCAUCGUGUCUCACCGUAAAUUGUUCAACUAAAAAUGACUCCUCGUCAGCAUGUUUCAAGUCAGGUAGCUGGUAACUAUGCAUAGAAAUAAAGACAGCACAUUCUAACUCCAACAUCGGUUGUGUUUUUCUAGAAAAGAAGUGAAAAAAGAGGAAAAGAUAAUAGGAUGUACUCGUGUACACGCGCAAGCUCAAGUUACCAGCACAUUCCAUCGACUACGUGGACCAUGUGCACAUUAUGUACACAUUUGUUGCCUUCUCCAGUAUAUCUGAUAAUAAAUAAAUUCAUUCUAGUUUGAACUACUAACCGAGUCGGAUGUAAUUAAUUAUUCUAGCAAUCCGAAAACCGCGAAACAUCUCAGUAGGAGGUUUUCAGCCUGGGGCUGGUUCGCCUCCACCUUCCGAAGAAAUAGUAAAGCAGUGUGCAGAACAUUUUCAAAGGGAAAAAAGAUAUUGACAACGUUCAACCCAAAAGAGAACAUCUGCGACAAAAGGAGAAAUAGAAAGCUAAGGAAGCAAUAAGUGUAGCUAUUUUCAACUUGGGAGCUGGAGCUGCCCUAAAAGCCGAGAAUCGGAAUCAAAUAGACUUGUUGCUGUGGGAUUACGUGGGAUUAACAAUGAACAUUAAUGACUACAAGGACCGGAUUAUGAAUUUAAUGAAUUCAACAGAACCGAGGAGGAGUAAUUGGAUUCAACAGAACUGAGGAUGAUGUUAAGCUGCUUCCUUGAAAUGGUAUCCAAUACUUUCUACAAUGACGUAGUCGUUAAUAGUCUUAUUUUUAACAACAAAUACUAAAUUAGAACUUUUAUUUUAGGAAAUGGAAAAGGAACGGAAGAGAACAAAAACUAAAUAGAAACAGUUCGAAAACUUGCCAAUCACCGGCGGACAUCGAUUGCCAUCCAUUGACGGCAAUCGAAUGUGCAUCAACAUCAAUACCUGCGUAGGAUAUCGC
Ochlerotatus camptorhynchus is the source of this 6493-nucleotide long non-coding RNA. RefSeq lists it as uncharacterized. The record is from RefSeq and is a predicted model, not a curated record. The transcript is spliced from 3 exons. NCBI's taxonomy places the organism in Eukaryota, Metazoa, Arthropoda, Insecta, Diptera, Culicidae.